RNAcentral lists this ribosomal RNA (498 nucleotides) under uncultured bacterium. Its description in RNAcentral is "partial 16S ribosomal RNA". It matches the Rfam family "Bacterial small subunit ribosomal RNA", at positions 899 to 1397 of the family's 1533-position model. The record is from RNAcentral.
ACUCAAAUGAAUUGACGGGGGCCCGCACAAGCGGUGGAGCAUGUGGUUUAAUUCGACGCAACGCGAAGAACCUUACCUAGACUCGAACGGCUUUGGACCGCUCUAGAAAUAGAGUUUUCCCGCAAGGGACUGAAGUCGAGGUGCUGCAUGGCUGUCGUCAGCUCGUGUCGUGAGAUGUUGGGUUAAGUCCCGCAACGAGCGCAACCCUUGUCCUGUGUUGCUAAUCCGCAAGGAUGCACUCUCAGGAGACCGCCAGCGAUAAGUUGGAGGAAGGUGGGGAUGACGUCAAGUCAUCAUGGCCUUUAUGCCUAGGGCUACACACGUGCUACAAUGGACGGUACAAACCGUUGCAAACCCGCGAGGGGGAGCUAAUCGGAAAAAACCGUUCUCAGUUCGGAUUGCAGGCUGCAACUCGCCUGCAUGAAGCUGGAAUCGCUAGUAAUGGUAUAUCAGAACGAUACCGUGAAUACGUUCCCGGGCCUUGCACACACCGCCCGU